RNAcentral lists this ribosomal RNA (113 nucleotides) under Periophthalmus magnuspinnatus. The record is from RNAcentral. Lineage: Eukaryota; Metazoa; Chordata; Actinopteri; Gobiiformes; Gobiidae.
CAGCCAUACCAGCUUGUCAAACCCUGAUCCCAUCAGAUCUCAGAAGCCAAGCAAGGCCAGGCCUGGUUAGUAUUUGGAUGGGAGACUGCUGGGAGUACCAGGUGUCACAGUGU